AGAAUCAACGCUGGCGGCGUGCCUCAGACAUGCAAGUCGAACGAUUAAAGCUCUCUUCGGAGAGUGUAUAGAGUGGCGCACGGGUGAGUAACACGUAAGUAAUCUACCUUUGAGUGGGGAAUAACAAUCGGAAACGAUUGCUAAUACCGCAUAAUGCAGCGGCAUCGUAAGGUGACAGUUGUUAAAGGAGCAAUCCGCUUAAAAGAGGAGCUUGCGGCAGAUUAGCUAGUGGUAAGUAAUGGCUUACCAAGGCUACGAUCUGUAUCCGGUCUAAGAGGACGGUCGGACACACUGACACUGAAUAACGGGUCAGACUCCUACGGGAGGCAGCAGUCGGGAAUUUUGGGACAAUGGGACGAAAGCCUGACCAGCAACGCCGCGUGAA
Molecule: ribosomal RNA, 385 nt
Filed under: uncultured soil bacterium
Lineage: Bacteria
Description: bacterial SSU rRNA
Rfam family: Bacterial small subunit ribosomal RNA
Source: RNAcentral